Molecule: non-coding RNA, 493 nt
Filed under: Corchorus capsularis
Lineage: Eukaryota; Viridiplantae; Streptophyta; Magnoliopsida; Malvales; Malvaceae
Description: Bacterial large subunit ribosomal RNA
Rfam family: Bacterial large subunit ribosomal RNA
Source: Rfam by way of RNAcentral
GAUCAAGCGCAUAAGGGCUUCUGACGGAUGCCUUGGCAUUGAGAGGCGAUGAAGGACGUGGCACGCUGCGAUAAGAGCCGGGGAGGCGCGAGCACCCUUUGAUCCGGCUAUCUCCGAAUGGGGAAACCCACCUUUAUGGUCACCCGACUUAGUCUUGCCUUCGGGCAAGAUCAGGAUCGGUUGAUCAGACAAGGUAUAAUGACCUGAAUACAUAGGGUUCAUUAAGCAAACCCGGGGAACUGAAACAUCUCAGUACCCGGAGGAAAGGACAUCAACCGAGACUCCCGUAGUAGUGGCGAGCGAACCGGGACCAGGCCAGUGCUGUCGUGACAUAAAGCUGAAUGUGUUGGGAAGCACAGCCAUAGUGGGUGAUAGCCCCGUAAGCGUCAAAUAGCGACAGACUCGAGUAGGGCGGGACACGUGAAAUCCUGUCUGAACAUGGGGGGACCACCCUCCAAGCCUAAGUACUCCUCAAUGACCGAUAGCGAACAAG